UGUGUGUGCGUUGGAAGGUCUGCUGCGACUAGUCUGUUAGACGAUCUUGUUAAAAACUAUCGUUUCAUUUCGUUUCCUCUGGUACGUGUGUUCCCUAAAGGUCGCUAUGGAUAUUCUGCCUCUUCAAUUUGGUGGAUUUAGUGACUUUAGUGACUGCUGGGCAUUCUUAAGGAGUGUCAUUUAUCAGAUUUAUUUGUAUUGGACAAAGGGGAAAAGCUUCUCUUCAAAUGAGGCAGCCAGGUUAAUUUGGCUGUUUUAAAAAGGAGGAGUACUUUUGGCUGUUGACUGGGCAAACACUUUCUUUUCCUGUUGUAUUCUUUUCUUUUUUGUAUUUCUUUACAUCGUUGUACACUAAAAUAUAACUGAAUUAUACGCUCCUGUUUUAAUAAGUUUGAUCUCCCUCUCCUUGGGUUUGCGCUGUGGGUUUGUGUAGGAAUUGAGUUUUUGUGUAUUGGUGUUUGUAUUAUUUGUUUAUUCUUUGGAUUUGAGGUGUGGUUGAAAUAUUUUUCAUACAGGUUUAAUUUUGAUGUGAUUUUUAUUGUUUAUUUUUUAUUAAUGCUAGAACUCCUUCCUUUAUGCCCAGUGGGUGUUUAAAUCUGAACCAAUGGGGGGGAGCUGCUGACAGUCUUUGUAUAUGUGGAGCUUGUA
Molecule: long non-coding RNA, 648 nt
Organism: Tachysurus fulvidraco (yellow catfish)
Lineage: Eukaryota; Metazoa; Chordata; Actinopteri; Siluriformes; Bagridae
Exons: 3
Source: RefSeq, a predicted model, not a curated record